RNAcentral lists this long non-coding RNA (2552 nucleotides) under Homo sapiens (human). RNAcentral describes it as "PREDICTED lncRNA (TCONS_00127818)". Lineage: Eukaryota; Metazoa; Chordata; Mammalia; Primates; Hominidae. The record is from RNAcentral.
GCGGCGCCGCGGGGCCUUAGCGGACGGAGGGGAGCGCGGGGGUCACCGGGCCGGGCCGGCAGCCCUAGAGCUCGGCCUGGCGGGGACCCUGGGCCAGCCCCGCGCCUCCGUGGCCCGGGCGUCUCGUGCGUGUCCGCGAACUCGCGUGCGCGCGUCACCUCGGACCGCAGCAUGGCUCGGAGGGCGGCCCUACUCGCGCCGCCCUAGUGCUGCGAAGGGCCUCGGAGCCCAAACCCGGAACCGCCAUCUGGGACUGGGAAGACGACAUGGCCAGAAGCCGACUGGACAGCCGGCACCACCCCAUGAUUCAAGGAUGGCCAUAGCCCAGUGCAGGAGCAGAUUUGCUUCCAGUUUGCCCUUCCUCCUAGGUGGAGUCUCGCUCUGUCACCCAGGCUGGAGUGCAAUGGCACGGUCUCAGCUCACUGCAACCUCUGCCUCCCAGAUUCAAGCAAUUCUGCCUCAACCUCCUGAGUAGCUGGGACUACAGGCACGUGUCACCACGCCCAGCUAUUUUUUUUUUUUUUUUUUUUUUUUUGAGACAGAGUCUCCCUCUGUCGCCCAGGCUGGAGUGCAAUGGCGCAAUCUCAGCUCACUGCAAGCUCCGCCUCCCCGGUUCCCGCCAUUCUCUUGCCUCAGCCUCCCGAGUAGCUGGCACUACAGGCGCCUGCCACCCAUGACCGGGUAAUUUUUUUUGUAUUUUUUAGUAGAGACGGGGUUUCACUGUGUUAGCCAGGAUGGUCUCGAUCUCCUGACCUCAUGAUCCGCCCGCCUCGGCCUCCCAAAGUGCUGGGAUUACAGGCGUGAGCCACCAUGCCCGGCCUUAAUAACUUUUUAAAGGAUGUCAAGUUAAUGGAAUGUAUUCUGCUUUAGAAAAUAAAACUCUUAGGUUUUCAAAACUUAGCAGCCCCAGCAUUACCAAGGGCCUGCCUACCGUUUACAGUAUGUGAAUCCUACUUCCUUUUCAUGGUUGUAAGACUGGGAUUUUCUGGGAGCCGACCUGCAGGAGUCCACAGGCCACCCGUUAGGACUGUGCACGCUCCUCCACAAACAUGCCUGUGGGGGGAUCCUUGGCUCUCUCUGCAGGGGUGCGUUGGGUGUGCACCAGCUGGGAAGGAAGGAUCUGUCGGAACUGCAAUCAAAGCCACGGCAGGCCUCCCAGGGUCUUACUGGUGGUGAAAACAACCAGCUUCCUCGUCCCUCCCUCAAGCAUGGCAACCACCGCCCUGAGACUCAAAGAUACCUGGAGGAGUGUGAUCGGGCUGACCUGUUGCUCUUAUCUGGAAUUCUUUGAGGGUGAUGGGAGAUCACUUCUUUUUUUUUUUUUUUUUUUUUUUUGAGACAGGAUCUUGUUUUGUCAACCAGGCUGGAGUGCAGGUUCAGGUGAUUCUUCCGCCUCAGCCUCCCCAAGUAGGCUGAGUAGCUGAGAAAACAGAUGCGCACCACCAUGCCUGGUUAAUUUUUGGAUGUUUUGCAGCCAUGUGGUUUCACCAUGUUGUCCAGUCUGGUCUUGAACUCCUGAGCUCAAGGGAUCCUCCCACCUCGGCCUCCCAAAGCAUUGAGAUUACAGGUAUGAGCCACUGUACCCGGCUACCCAGGAGAUUACUAUUUUUUGGCAUAAAACCAAACAAAACUAUUCAUUAGUUUAUCCACUCAACAUUGAUUUAUUAUUCCUGACUGCAGCCAACAACAUUGUGAAUACUUUCCCUGCCUCAAGCUCUGUUCUAGGUCCUAGAACAUUCAUGACAAUUUGUUUCUCUGCCCUCUGGCAGGUGAGAAAACUUUGUAAGAAGUUUCAAUAGCAAAAAGUAUGAGAAGAUGUACAAUAGAUCUGGGACUAUUUGUAACAAACCCGGUGGAAGAUGUAGGAGCAGAGGUGGAAGGCCUUAAAGAGGGUCCUGCGCAUGCCGGGCGGGCCUCCAACAGAGAAAACACACAACCUGGCCAGGCACAGUGGCUCACGCCUGUAAUCCCAGCACUUUGGGAGGCCAGUGCGGGUGGAUCACCUGAGGUCAGGAGUUCGAGAUCAGCCUGGCCAAUGUAGUGAAACCCCAGUCUCUACCAAAAAUACAAAAAUUAGCCGGGCUUGGCACAGGCUUGCAAUCCCAGCUGAGGCAGGAGAAUCGCUUGAACCUGGGAGGUGGAGGUUGCAAUGAGCCAAGAUCAUGCUUUUGCACUCCAGCCUGGACGACAGAGUGAGACUCUGUCUCAAAACAAAAUAAAUAAAAUAGACACGCAAUCCAUACCACAGCCACCAGGGUGAUUGUCCAGGUUGUAUUUCUGCUGACAUCGACCCUUCAUGCCUUCCUCUUGUUGACCCUUCCAGCUACACCUAGCUCGGUCCUCUUCGGAGCCACGCCAACACCCAGGUUCCUCUGCAGUGCAUCCCCAUGGGGAUUUACCCGGUGAUUGAUUUUAUUUCUUUAUUUAUUUUUAUUAUUAUUAUUAUUUUUGAGACAGAGUUUCACUCUUGUUUCCCAGGCUGGAGUGCAGUGGCGCAAUCCCAGCUCACUGCAACCUCUGCCUCCCGGGUUCAAGCGAUUAUCCAGUCUCAG